This 465-nucleotide ribosomal RNA is filed under the name Vreelandella stevensii. RNAcentral describes it as "partial 16S ribosomal RNA". It matches the Rfam family "Bacterial small subunit ribosomal RNA", at positions 338 to 795 of the family's 1533-position model. Lineage: Bacteria; Pseudomonadati; Pseudomonadota; Gammaproteobacteria; Oceanospirillales; Halomonadaceae. The record is from RNAcentral.
CCUACGGGAGGCUGCAGUGGGGAAUAUUGGACAAUGGGGGGAACCCUGAUCCAGCAAUGCCGCGUGUGUGAAGAAGGCCCGCGGGUUGUAAAGCACUUUCAGUGAGGAAGAACGCUUGGUGGUUAAUACCCAUCAGCAUAGACAUCACGCACAGAAGAAGCACCGGCUAACUCCGUGCCAGCAGCCGCGGUAAUACGGAGGGUGCGAGCGUUAAUCGGAAUUACUGGGCGUAAAGCGCGCGUAGGUGGCUUGAUAAGCCGGUUGUGAAAGCCCCGGGCUCAACCUGGGAACGGCAUCCGGAACUGUCAAGCUAGAGUGCAGGAGAGGAAGGUAGAAUUCCAGGUGUAGCGGUGAAAUGCGUAGAGAUCGGGAGGAAUACCAGUGGCGAAGGCGGCUUCCUGGACCGACACUGACGCUGAGGUGCGAAAGCGUGGGUAGCAAACAGGAUUAGAUACCCGAGUAGUC